This 828-nucleotide ribosomal RNA is filed under the name Triticum aestivum (bread wheat). RNAcentral describes it as "partial small subunit ribosomal RNA". Lineage: Eukaryota; Viridiplantae; Streptophyta; Magnoliopsida; Poales; Poaceae. The record is from RNAcentral.
AUGAAGGGACCCGGCCUCUUCACCGACAUCGGCAAGAAGGCCAAGGAUCUGCUCACCAGGGACUACACCUACGACCAGAAGCUCUCCGUCUCCACCGUCAGCUCCUCCGGAGUGGCCGUCACUUCCACAGCUGUGAAGAAGGGAGGGCUUUAUUCUCUUGAUGUAGCAUCAGCUUACAAGUAUAAGAAUAAUCUUGUUGAUGUUAAAGUGGACACAGAAUCAAAUAUCUCUACUACCUUGACUGUCUUGGAUGUCCUGCCAUCCACAAAGCUUGUGACGUCUAUCAAAUUUCCUGAUUACAAUGCUGGAAAGGUGGAGGUGCAAUACUUCCACGACCAUGCAACUUUUGCUGCCGCUGUUGGCAUGAAGCCCUCUCCUGUGGUCGAUUUUUCUUUGGUAGUAGGCCCUAAAGGACUUGCCUUCGGUGGGGAGGCUGGGUUUGACACUUCUUCAGGAAAGUUUACCAAGUACACUGGUGGUUUCAGUGUAACCAAGCCUGACUUCCAUGCUUCAGCUAUUCUGGCCGACAAAGGUGACACCAUCAAAGUGUCAGGUGUGUAUCACCUUGAUGAGAAGCAGAAGGCUUCGGCCGUGGCUGAAUUUACCCGGAAGCUCUCAACGAACGAGAACACACUGACAGUUGGUGGCCUGUACACCGUCGACCCUCAGACAGCUGUGAAGGCAAGGCUCAACAACACUGGAAAGCUUGCUGCUCUCCUCCAGCACGAGGUUAAACCAAAGUCACUCUUGACGAUAUCUGGUGAGUUCGACACCAAGGCCUUGGACAGAGCACCCAAGUUUGGGCUGUCACUCGCGCUCAAGCCCUGA